This 492-nucleotide ribosomal RNA is filed under the name uncultured bacterium. Its description in RNAcentral is "partial 16S ribosomal RNA". It matches the Rfam family "Bacterial small subunit ribosomal RNA", at positions 29 to 507 of the family's 1533-position model. The record is from RNAcentral.
AGUGAACGCUGGCGGUAGGCCUAACACAUGCAAGUCGAACGGCAGCACAGUAAGAGCUUGCUCUUACGGGUGGCGAGUGGCGGACGGGUGAGGAAUACAUCGGAAUCUACUUUUUCGUGGGGGAUAACGUAGGGAAACUUACGCUAAUACCGCAUACGACCUACGGGUGAAAGCAGGGGAUCUUCGGACCUUGCGCGAUUGAAUGAGCCGAUGUCGGAUUAGUUAGUGGGCGGGGUAAAGGCCCACCAAGGCGACGAUCCGUAGCUGGUCUGAGAGGAUGAUCAGCCACACUGGAACUGAGACACGGUCCAGACUCCUACGGGAGGCAGCAGUGGGGAAUAUUGGACAAUGGGCGCAAGCCUGAUCCAGCCAUACCGCGUGGGUGAAGAAGGCCUUCGGGUUGUAAAGCCCUUUUGUUGGGAAAGAAAAGCAGCAGGUUAAUACCCCGCUGUUCUGACGGUACCCAAAGAAUAAGCACCGGCUAACUUCGUG